GGGGGAAAAUUAAUGAAAUAAAUAUAAUAAAAGAAUUUUUAAUGUUAAUAAAUUUAAUGGGGGUUAAAGUAUAGUUAAUAGAAAAAAAUUAAAAAAUUUAUAGGGGAGAAGUAUUGUAUAAGAAAUUUGAAAUAUAUGAAAAGAAAAUAAUAAAAAAGUAAAUUUAAUUUAUUGUAUCUUGUGUAUCAGAGUUUAUUAAUAAAAUUUUAUAAUUAUAAAUUUCUCGAAUUUAAAAGAGUUAAUUAAUUAUAAAAGUUAAUGUGGAAAAAUUAUUUUAAAUAAUUAAUUUGAAAUGAAAUGUUAAUCGUUUUUAAAUAUAUCUAGUUUUUUUAGAAAAAAAUUAAAUUUUAAAUUUAAAAAAAAAAUAAUUUUUUUUAAAAAAUUAUUUUUUUUUAAAUUAAAUAUUUUAAGGGAUAAGCUUUAUAAUAAAUUUUUAUAAUAAUUGGUUUUAUAUUUAAAAUUUUUAGAAUUUAUAUUGUUAAUAAAUUAUAAUUUUUUACAAAUAAUUUUAAAUAUUUUAAAAUUUAAUUAAUAAUUUAAAUUUUUAUAAAAAAAAAAUUAAUAAAAUAAAAUUAGUUAUAAUGAUAAAAUUAGUAUAUAAAAUUAAUUUUUUAAAUAAAAUUUUAAUUUAUUAUAAUUUUAUAAAAGGAAUUCGGCAAAUAUUUAUAUUCACUUGUUUAUCAAAAACAUGUCUUUUUGAUAAUAAUUUAAAGUCUAAUCUGCCCACUGAUAAAUAUUAAAGGGCUGCAGUAUUUUGACUGUACAAAGGUAGCAUAAUCAUUAGUCUUUUAAUUGGUGACUUGUAUGAAAGAUUUGAUGAAAUAUAAACUGUCUCUUAAAAAUUUAUAUAAUUUAAUUUUUUGGUUAAAAAGCUAAAAUAUUUUUAAAAGACGAGAAGACCCUGUAGAGUUUUAUAAUUUUAAUAUUUUUAAUUUUAUAUUUAAAUUUAAAUUAAAAAAGUGAAAAUUAUUUUGUUGGGGUGAUAGAAAAAUUAAAAAAACUUUUUUUUAAAAUUUUACAUUAAUAUAUGAUUAAAUGAUCCGUAAUUUACGAUUAAAAGAAAAAAUUACCUUAGGGAUAACAGCGUAAUUUUUUUUUUUAGUUCAAAUAGGAAAAAGAGUUUGCGACCUCGAUGUUGGAUUAAGAUAAAAUUUAAAUGCAAAAGUUUAAAAGUUUUGAUCUGUUCGAUCAUUAAAAUCUUACAUGAUCUGAGUUCAAACCGGUGUAAGCCAGGUUGGUUUCUAUCUUUAAUUAAUUAAAAUAUUUUAGUACGAAAGGAUUGAGUAUUUAAAAUAAUUUUAUAAAAAGAAUAUUAAUAAUAAAUUAAUUAAAAU
This 1334-nucleotide ribosomal RNA is filed under the name Bhutanitis mansfieldi. RNAcentral's name for it is "16S ribosomal RNA". The stretch from base 1077 to 1236 matches the Rfam family "Eukaryotic large subunit ribosomal RNA", at positions 2825 to 2984 of the family's 3401-position model. The record is from RNAcentral. Lineage: Eukaryota; Metazoa; Arthropoda; Insecta; Lepidoptera; Papilionidae.